RNAcentral lists this microRNA precursor (335 nucleotides) under Helianthus annuus (common sunflower). RNAcentral describes it as "microRNA MIR821". It matches the Rfam family "MIR821 microRNA precursor family". Lineage: Eukaryota; Viridiplantae; Streptophyta; Magnoliopsida; Asterales; Asteraceae. The record is from RNAcentral.
AGCUUCGCCGGCAUGCCAUCCACCUUAAACUUCAACAAUCGACCAAAUACCAUCUCUUUUACCGCCAUUCUUUGUUCGAACAACAGCACCAUAAUGCACCUAGCGAGUUGGAUCGGUGACGAUCUUGUUCUAAUCCCUAGCCAAUUAUCCCUCUUUGACUUUUCCUCAACCUACAUACCAACUCGGGAUAAUUGGCUAGGGAUUAGAACAAGAUCGUCACCAAUCCAACUCGCUAGGUGCAUUAAGGUGUUGUCAUUCGAACAAAGAAUGGCGGUAAAAGAGAUGGUAUUUGGUCGAUUGUUGAAAUUUAAGGUGGAUGGCAUGCCGGCGAAGCU